Molecule: small nuclear RNA, 107 nt
Filed under: Jaculus jaculus (lesser Egyptian jerboa)
Lineage: Eukaryota; Metazoa; Chordata; Mammalia; Rodentia; Dipodidae
Source: RNAcentral
GUGCUAAGCUUCGGCAGCAUAUAUACUAAAAAACUGGAACGAUACAGAGAUUAGCAUGGCCCCUGCACAAGGAUGACAUGCAAACUCGUGAAGCGUUCCAUAUUAAA